UGGGGAAUAUUGCACAAUGGGGGAAACCCUGAUGCAGCAACGCCGCGUGAAGGAAGACGGUUUUCGGAUUGUAAACUUCUAUCAAUAGGGAAGAAAGAAAUGACGGUACCUAAAUAAGAAGCCCCGGCUAACUACGUGCCAGCAGCCGCGGUAAUACGUAGGGGGCAAGCGUUAUCCGGAAUUACUGGGUGUAAAGGGAGAGUAGGCGGCAAGGUAAGCGAUAUGUGAAAGCCUUAGGCUUAACCUGAGGAUUGCAUAACGAACUAUCUAGCUAGAGUACAGGAGAGGAAAGCGGAAUUCCUA
RNAcentral lists this ribosomal RNA (303 nucleotides) under uncultured bacterium. RNAcentral's name for it is "bacterial SSU rRNA". It matches the Rfam family "Bacterial small subunit ribosomal RNA", at positions 355 to 672 of the family's 1533-position model. The record is from RNAcentral.